This is a long non-coding RNA of Brassica napus (rape), 1221 nucleotides long. RefSeq lists it as uncharacterized. The record is from RefSeq and is a predicted model, not a curated record. The transcript is spliced from 5 exons. Lineage: Eukaryota; Viridiplantae; Streptophyta; Magnoliopsida; Brassicales; Brassicaceae.
UUUUCAUUAAGCCGGAAAUCAAAAAUCCAUUGUAUAACCAAUUUUUCUUUUCGGCAACACUUGGAAGCGCCGACACUUGCCGAAAUUUUGGUCUUGACACAAAAACUUUUGGUUUCUGGGAAAUUUUUUUUUUUUUUUGCUAAGUCCUUUUUUCCCAUUCUCCAUCCAUCGACAGAACUCCCCGACAUCCAUCUUCUUCUUCUUCCUCCGUCAAAUUUGAGAAACUGGGUCUCACUUCUUCUCUCAGGAGACUAGUAGUUCAAACCUCGCUAAAGGAGAAAACCCAAGAUGUCAAUAGCUCUCAAAGGUUGUUGCCGGAAUGGGAAGCGUUUCCAAGUCCGUUAGUCUCGUAACUCGCCGUACGUCCGCCGGUCUGGCAACCCGAUGAUGUCAAUAAACCAGAUGCUUCCCGGUCCGUUUUAUUCCACGAGUGUUAGAGCCGUAUGUCCGCCGAUCUAGGUUUUCUUGCCUCCGCGCCGCCUCGGCCUCCCUCUGGUGUUGGUGACAAGGAGGUUACUGAGCCUUACUCUGCCUGCGCGGUUUGAAGGAAGUCUUCGGGGAGAAAAAGGAGUAAAAACUCUUCUUCCUCUAAGAAAAAGAUUCAUCUGUUAUCUCUUCCUUGACUGCUUCUCAAAGGUUCGAUGGUGCAUUGAACGUGGAUGAAAUCUCCGCAGAGAAAGCCUUCCACGAGCAAUGAGGAGCUUAAUAUGUUGCUGUAUUUCAUCAGGAUUAGUGACAAGUAUUUCAAGAUCAACUCUAGCAGAGGAUGAGCUCGUUAAAGUGUUGGCAAGUAUACGCUUCACUCCCAUUCUCUUGUGAAUCAUUCUCUUCUAUGGAGUUUUUAGUUUCAGUCAUGGGUUCAGAAUUAUGCUAAGGUUGCCUUUAGCGACGAGUUGGAGAUGCAGUUGUGGAGUCGGAGAUGCAUCGGCAUUGAGACAGGUCCAGGAUGGAGUGAGAUGCAGUACUCGAUGCAGAGGAGCUCGUGAAUAUUUUUAAUGGAGAAGCUAUUGGGUGUAUAUGUUUGUCUCUGAGAUUUGAGCUUGUGUUCCUACUUUGUCUUUGUGUCUUGUUUUUACUAGUAUUAAAGUUAGUUUAACUUGUUCUUUGAUUUUGUUUAUGACUAGAUUUGAUGGUUACAUGUUCUCUAAUGGAGUUCAUGUGUUUCGUGUACUGAUUUUGUAUGUUUUAUAAAUUUAAUGAAAAUAUAAUUAUGAGUCUAAA